GAUUGCGAUCCGGCGGUGGGAAGCCCACUUUCCCCCCAAAACCCUAGCCGCCCCUCUCUUAAGGCCCCUUGUGGGCAGCCGCCCCCCUUCCCUCCUUUGGCCGUCACCCUCCCCCCCUCUUCCCUCUUCUCUCUUCCCCAAGUGCUGCAGCCGCCCCCUCUCCAUUCUCAAGUUUUUUUUUGCAGCAGCCAUCUCCUCAACCCUAGCCGCCACCCCCCAUCUCCUCUUCUCCAAGUGUCGUUCUUCCUCGUCGGAUCUUCUUCGUGUGGGUGCAAGUUUCAAUUGGAGAAUUGGUGGGAGGAAGGAAGGAGGAAAAAGGUGGAACUCAAGGUACUUGAUACAUGUUGGGAAUGAGGGGAGUAGCAGCACGUUCACUUUCACUCUCACAAUAACGCUGUCCAAGCGCAACCAUGAUUUAAUUAGAAACUUAUUGUCAAAGGAAGUUUGUUUCUUUUAACUAGUCGUGCGCACUAGUUAAUUCAGUUCAUGUCGUAUGUGUAACUUCUCUUUGCUAGCUGAUUAAUAAUACUUAGUAUGUUUUUGUCAUGAUAUAUGUUUAUACACUGUUGCCCCCCCUCAUUUAUGCAAUUUUGCAAAGGGGUUGCUGCCGAAAUUUUAUAUAUAGAUGUCAGAAGUGUUGUUCAGUAGCAUUCCGUGGUGUUUGUGGACCCCGGGGUGUUACAGUUGGUAUCAGAGGAUAGGCUUUAGAUUCUACGCAAUUUGAAGAUAAAUUUGACACACUUGCACAUAUAGGAAGGGUAUGGGUUCGUAUAUCUUUCAUAUUAGUAUUUUAUUGUAUAGAUGACUAGAAUUCCCUUACUCCAAAUCCCUUUAUGGUUUGAUGGGGUAUGUCGUUAACGACUUAAUGUUUGAUAUGAUAUGUUACUUCUAAUUAAUAUUGGUUUCUUGAUGUGGUUGUUAUUGAAGUUAUUAUGCAAGUGAAGCUACUAAUGUACUUGUUUUGUAUACAUAUCGUCAUGAUGUUUUUUUAUGCGAUGUUUUUCAAAUCUUUGAGCUAUUACUAUCAUAUAUUUCUAUAUGCUUGAUUGUGGUUGUUUUUUUAAAUGGAUUUUUUGGGGUUCUAGUACUUGUAGGACCGAUUGUUUAUUGAGUCUGUGUAUAGUGGGUCUAAUCCGGCUUGGUGGGUGUGAAAACACUAUAUAAUGUAGUUUUAUCAUGUUGUUGGGUCUGAUUGAAUGUUGGGCUACAACCCAACUUAUCAAUGUAAUAUUUCCAUGGAGGCAAUGCUUUGCGCCUCACUUUUUUUAGGCUAGUGUGGCUACUUGCUAACUUGAUCUUAGUAUAAAAUUGGUUUGUCUCUCUAGAGCAGAGGCAACGUUGUAAUGUCUAUGAAAUCUUUAGACUGGUAGAACUCGAGUGAAUUUGUGAGAUGACGUAGAUUGAUAAGUCCAACCAUGUCUACCUGAUAGGUUUUCUUAUUAUGUGCAACCUUAUUUUUAACAAUAAAUAGGGUGGUUUCAAGUGGAUUUUAUGUCAUGCAUGUUUUCCUUCUAUGGCUUGUUUCAAUAGCCAUAAAGGCUAUGCAUAAUUUUUAGUUGUUGCAGGCUAGUCAUGUGGGCGAUAUUGAUAACCCAUUUUAUAUUUUUUUAUUUGCCAACAUUGUACUACUUUGAAUGCAUCCUAUGAUAUCACGAGGUACAAAUUGUUCAAUUGCAGUAAUAGUAGGUUUUGUUGUAUGUGAGGUUAAUCAAGGUAGUUUGGUUAUGUGGAUUGUCUUAUUGACGUCCAAUUACUUUUGUUGAGCAUAGUAUCGUGUUAUUGUUUUAGUAUUGAAAGUAAUAUUUAUGAAGCUUUUGCAUGAGUCUAUGUCAAGAGGUACAUUAGUUUUCUUGUUGUUAUCCCUCCAUUGCUUUAUGAGUGUUGCAAAUUUUAUCUCUUUUGAGAGGAGAGAAAGACGUUAUAUGACAUGAGCACCAUUUGCUUCACGUCAACAGAAUAGUUGUGGAGAUCUCUAGUAGUUGAAUUCUGGUGUAAUAACAACCAUGUUUUAUAGUGCUAGAGACGGGUAUGUCAGGUGUUUCAUACAUUGUCGCUACAUGGAUGUUUGACCUUAGUGGCAUUAACAAACGAGGUUGUUGAAUUCGUUGAUUGUUAUGCUUAGUGUUCUAACCUAUUAGGUAAAGUGUUGUUUAAAGACUUUGGGGAGUUGCAUCCCCAUUUGGUAGUGGGAAAUCCUAGUGUUGAUUGCACCUGCCCAUGCCUUGGGUUUCAUUUUAUAUUGUUUUUUUUAUUGUGGUUAAGGUGUUGCUUGGUUUUGGGAGUCAUUUUAAAUUAGUUGGAGGCUGAAUCAGGCUUCACUUAUCUAGAAUGUUUUGUAGUAGGUUUCUUCAUGUUUGCAUAUGAUGCUUAAUCACCCUGUUUGGUCUGAACAUUUGAGAGUUAUGGGUUUCCUAUAGCAGCCUUAAUUUUGUACGGAAGAAUAGACCUUGAUGAUGGUAUAAUUUGGUCUUUGUUAGAUUAUGAAAGAUUUAGUAAUUUCAUGAUCUUUCCAAAGAGUAUUGGUUCGUAAUUUUCAUUGUAUAUAAUUGGAGUUAGGCUGCUCUGAAGUUGUUGCACCGUUGUGUCUGAACUUUAGGUGUCGUUAUAACCACCAAUAAAUCGACCGUGUUUUGAUAGUUUCAUAGCCCAAAUUUGGGAAUUCUCUUUAAGCAAAACUUUAGUUCUUCUCAGUACCUUUUAAAUGGGUAUUUACUUGUAAUUGUCUGUUAAAUAGAUUGGGAGAGGUGGUUGUCCGGUUAUAAGUCGAAUCUCCAAUGUGCAGUAUCUCGGGCUGAGUUUAGCUGUAGGUCAUGCAGAGUUGAGGGCUAUAAAGAUAAAUUUGGGUGCAACUUUAUUGCAAAAGUCAUGGACAAUUUUCAAACUUUUCCAACGCGUGUUCGUUGUAGUUUUAAGUUGAGUAUAGGAGGAGUUAUAGGUUAUUGAAUUUUAGUUGUCCAUUGUUUCCAUCCUAUCAGUUUUGCAACAAAAGAGUUACAUUAUUUUAUCGAUUUGAAAACCAAUUUCGAGACACUCAUUAUAAUAAAAGUUUUACAGAAUGUUAUAAUCUUUUCAAUGGGUUUAUAUUUGCAAAAUUUUGUUAAGCUGCAGGGAGUUAUGGUAUUUUGAAUUUAUGUGUCAUGUUUCGUCAGUUUCUGGUGGCAGAUCAUGUAUGUCGCCUUACAAGUCAAAUUAAAAAUGGUAGAUGAAAAAAAAUUGUUUAUCCUUUGAAUACGAAAGUUGUAGAUCAUGAAGUUUAGAUGAUUUUACAAUAUUUCAUUGUUACCAUUGCUUUUAUAGUGAGAGGUAGAAAAAAUGAACAUUUGUGCUAUUGAUUGUCAAUUUUCUACUUAGUGAUUUUUUUUCAUGGGAGUUUGGUUUAGUUGUGGUGAGCUCUUUCGCAAUCCAUGUUAAUUAAGUUGUAUGGUGGGAGGGAAUAGACGUAGUGGUUGGGAUGGUUAUCUUGUUUAUGUAUAUGUGGAGCGUGGGCUGGAACACAGAAAUAGCAAGGAACGUUUGAAUACGCCAGUACGUAUUGUUGUGAAGCCACGUUUUCUUGUAUUGGCGUGAUUGCGUAAGUAUGAAAUAGUUACGUCAUGUGAAGUCUAGGUUGAGAUGCAAUUUGUCUGAGUUAUUCGAUAGAUAUAUGUAUAGUAUAAUUAAAAAAAAGAGAGUUCCUAUAUGGGAUGAUAUAAUGUAUAGAAUGUGCUUGGAUGAAUAUGUGGGCAGGCCUAACAUGCUUAAACAGAUUCCUGUUUGCAUGAUGUGAGAUUAGGCUUAAAUGGUUUAAAAAGAUAUCAUAUUGCUUCUAUACUUAUAUUUGUUCUAAGUAUCUCGUAAUGAAGCACCUAAAGUUAUUAGUCUUUCCAUGAACGCUUAAUCUUAGAAGGGUAAUGAACCUGAAUAAAAUCUAUUGCUUGUUGUUGGGUCUUCAUGACCAAUUUUAGUUAUGCAGCUAGUUCAAUGAAGUAAACCAUCUUUUCUGUAGAGAUGUUAUAUAUAAAAGUUGUAGCCGACUUCUUUAUCUUACUUGUGUAAAAAUUUCAUGACCAUAGGUCUAGUAGUUUGGGAGUUAUGAUUUUCUCAAGUCCAGUCUUGGAAUCUGUGCAGAUUCUGUACAGAUUUCGAAACUGACCUUGUUUGCCCAAUUUAAACUUCGAAUAACUUAUUAUAAAUUAUAAAGAAGUUGUAGUACCUUUCUUAAUCUUUUCAACAAACUUUGGAUCACCAUUUUUGGAGAUCUAUAAGUAAAAUUAUAGCUGUUUUAAUUGUGAUCUCUGAAUCUGUCUAAAUUUGGACAGCAGAGCCUUUCUCAUGUCUUUUGACCUUGAUAAGCAUUGAAUUAACCUGAUAUGUUUAUAAAUGAAUUAUAGACAAUUCUACUAGCUUUCUAAAAAGUCUGGGAGCACCUGAAUUGGAUGGCUGAGACUCCAAUUAUGGAUUUUUGAAUUGAGUAGUUGAAUUCUGUCCAAGUCUGGACAGAAUUUACGUUUAGCAUUGUUUGACCUUUCUAAGUGUCAAAUCUUGCUGUGAAGAUAAUACCAAGGGUAUAGUGGACUUUAUAAUCUUUCCAUAAAGUCCUAGUUUAUUAUUUUUGGAUGCUUAUUUUAUGAGUUAUGAACAAAACAAUUAACCGCUGUGCUGCUAUCCAGAAAUAUGCAAGCAUUAAGUUACUCUCUUGAAGUUGCUCUUGUUUGGCUAAGUUUGGUUUAGGCUAUAGGAAUACUAUAUGCAGUGCAUUCAUAUAUACAUUCCUUGAAGUACUUGCAUAUGUCAAUGAUUGAUUUGGUGUCAUGAAAGCUUUGUCCGAGGUAUAUAGGACCGUCUACUAUCUUAGCCGAGUUGGCAGCUGGGCUUAGCAUAUGCAAUUGUCGAAAUCUAUUAUCAGAGUACACCAUGUAUUCCAUGUCUUUAUGUGGAGAACGUAUUUGCGGAAUCCAGACCAUCAAAUCGAGCUAGAGCCAAUUCCUGUGUAGCAAGACCAGACUCUAGAGUGUCGUCUGCUGCGUAUCUUAGAAUCCUAGGAGCUUGAGAAGCUGAUGCGGUAGAAGUACCCGAACUUUUCUUUAUGUGUGAGUUUUGUUGAUUCAUUAAUCUUUCCUUUGUCGUUCCGAUAGAAGCAUCGGAAUUCGAGGUCGAAUUCUUUUUAAGGUGGGUAGAGUGUGAUACCCAAUUUUCAAAAAAAAGAAGAGAAAUUGAAGUUUACUCUUUUUUUUCUUUGUUUUCUCUUGCGGGUCCCGUGCUAUGGGGGGUUUGGAAUUUUAGGAGGUAAACAUCUGUAAAACAGUAAAAUUUAUGUUUGAUGUGUGCGCGGGGGUCGAGAGCUCUGGCGUAGGAAUGGUUUUGGGUCGUUGAUUGCGAUCCGGCGGUGGGAAGCCCACUUUCCCCCCAAAACCCUAGCCGCCCCUCUCUUAAGGCCCCUUGUGGGCAGCCGCCCCCCUUCCCUCCUUUGGCCGUCACCCUCCCCCCCUCUUCCCUCUUCUCUCUUCCCCAAGUGCUGCAGCCGCCCCCUCUCCAUUCUCAAGUUUUUUUUUGCAGCAGCCAUCUCCUCAACCCUAGCCGCCACCCCCCAUCUCCUCUUCUCCAAGUGUCGUUCUUCCUCGUCGGAUCUUCUUCGUGUGGGUGCAAGUUUCAAUUGGAGAAUUGGUGGGAGGAAGGAAGGAGGAAAAAGGUGGAACUCAAGGUGGUGGACUUUCGGAUCGUACUUAGGGAUUUGCCCGAACUUCCGGUAAAGGCAAGUAAAUAUAGUGGUGGUUGCUACCGUUUGGUUUGCAUCCUAUUCCCUGUCAUUGAGUAUGCAUAAGUUUUAAUUAUGUUAAUCAUUGAAUUCUAUGAUGAAGUUUAUUUGUUUGGAAGUAUUAAUUCUCAAUUGUCUAAUAUUGUGGAUGAUCAUAAUUUGGUUAUGAUAUAUGUGGUUGAUUCCCAUCUUGGAUGAAGUUGAAGUAUCUUUUUGAAUCACGUUAUAUGAAGUGUUGUAGGCAUGACAUGCACAUCGCAUCAUCCAUCUUGCAUUUUGAAGUUAUGUCGUGAUCUUAUGGUCCGACCGUACCGGUACAUUUUUAGCAUCGUACGUUGCCCGAGGAGGGGUACGAUGCGGCUUCAUAUCCUUAGAGGUAUGAAGGCAGAAGUCAUCCUUGCAUUUGCAGACAUUUGCACUCAUGAGGUAUAUAUGAAGUGUGACAUUACUAUGUUACUAUUGAGGUUUCUACCUGCGAGGUGUAGUGACUAGGUGUGUUGUACGUUGUAUACGUGAUGCACCAUCGUAAUAAGAAAGUUGUGGAAUCAAGUGGUGGUAAAACAAUGUUCUUAUGUGGUUAAACAGUUUGAUAUUAUUUUACUUGCUGAGAUGUGUCAUCUCACUCUUGCAUUACUCAAUGCAGGUACUUGAUACAUGUUGGGAAUGAGGGGAGUAGCAGCACGUUCACUUUCACUCUCACAAUAACGCUGUCCAAGCGCAACCAUGAUUUAAUUAGAAACUUAUUGUCAAAGGAAGUUUGUUUCUUUUAACUAGUCGUGCGCACUAGUUAAUUCAGUUCAU
Molecule: long non-coding RNA, 6535 nt
Organism: Zea mays
Lineage: Eukaryota; Viridiplantae; Streptophyta; Magnoliopsida; Poales; Poaceae
Exons: 3
Source: RefSeq, a predicted model, not a curated record